UACGUAGGGUGCGAGCGUUGUCCGGAAUUAUUGGGCGUAAAGAGCUCGUAGGCGGUUUGUCGCGUCUGCUGUGAAAACUCGGGGCUUAACUCCGGGCCUGCAGUGGGUACGGGCAGACUAGAGUGCGGUAGGGGAGACUGGAAUUCCUGGUGUAGCGGUGAAAUGCGCAGAUAUCAGGAGGAACACCGGUGGCGAAGGCGGGUCUCUGGGCAAUAACUGACGCUGAGGAGCGAAAGCGUGGGGAGCGAACAGG
This 253-nucleotide ribosomal RNA is filed under the name uncultured bacterium. RNAcentral's name for it is "partial 16S ribosomal RNA". It matches the Rfam family "Bacterial small subunit ribosomal RNA", at positions 524 to 776 of the family's 1533-position model. The record is from RNAcentral.